GUUCUUUUAGUAUUAAUAAGUACAACUGACUUCCAAUCAGUUAGUUUUGGUCUAGCCCAAAAAAGAAUA
RNAcentral lists this transfer RNA (69 nucleotides) under Tragelaphus eurycerus (bongo). Its description in RNAcentral is "tRNA-Gly". It matches the Rfam family "tRNA". Rfam says of the family: Transfer RNA (tRNA) molecules are approximately 80 nucleotides in length. Their secondary structure includes four short double-helical elements and three loops (D, anti-codon, and T loops). RNAcentral also lists the same sequence under 1 other name. Lineage: Eukaryota; Metazoa; Chordata; Mammalia; Artiodactyla; Bovidae. The record is from RNAcentral.